GUUUACAGCCAUGCCAGCUGUCUGAACAAGCCCGAUGUCUGAUCUUGGAAGCUAAGCAGGGUUGGGCCUGGUUAGUACUUCAAUGGGAGACCACCUAGGAAGACUAGGUGCUGUAGGCA
RNAcentral lists this ribosomal RNA (119 nucleotides) under Pteropus alecto (black flying fox). RNAcentral also lists the same sequence under 1 other name. The record is from RNAcentral. Lineage: Eukaryota; Metazoa; Chordata; Mammalia; Chiroptera; Pteropodidae.